Molecule: long non-coding RNA, 342 nt
Filed under: Prunus dulcis (almond)
Lineage: Eukaryota; Viridiplantae; Streptophyta; Magnoliopsida; Rosales; Rosaceae
Description: sRNA ncRNA
Source: RNAcentral
CUUUUACAUGCUGAGAUUUUUAUUGAGCAUUAACAGUUUUCAGGUGAUAUGGCACAUAAGAACAAGCACAGGCAAAAUAGAAUUAAGACCAGGUUGUUUGAAGUGUGUGUUGUGUAUAUAUUUAGUAUUGACCAUCCGUUAAGCAUAAUGUUAAAUGUUAAAGUUGCGUCCAACAGAAACAAUGGGUAAAGUUAGAGGAUUUUAUGUAUUUAGAUACAAGUUCUAAAAUGUCGUAUGCUCUGUUCUCAAGAACCCCCUCAAGUGUGAUCCCAGUGAAACAAAAAUAUGUGUUUCAAUAAUAUCGUGACAUGGAGCACGUUUGGUCAAACUAGGCCUCGCAGA